This 147-nucleotide non-coding RNA is filed under the name Nomascus leucogenys (northern white-cheeked gibbon). The record is from Rfam by way of RNAcentral. Lineage: Eukaryota; Metazoa; Chordata; Mammalia; Primates; Hylobatidae.
GCCAGGCGUGGUGGUGCAUGCUUGUAAUCCCACCUACUCGAAGGCUGAGGCAGGGGAAUUGCUUGAACCCAGGAGACGGAGGUUGCAGUGAGCCAAGAUCGUGCCACUGCACUCCAGCCUGGGUGACAGAGUGAGACCCUGUCUCAA